RNAcentral lists this ribosomal RNA (453 nucleotides) under Sepiana sepium. RNAcentral describes it as "partial 16S ribosomal RNA". It matches the Rfam family "Bacterial large subunit ribosomal RNA", at positions 1803 to 2528 of the family's 2925-position model. Lineage: Eukaryota; Metazoa; Arthropoda; Insecta; Orthoptera; Tettigoniidae. The record is from RNAcentral.
UUUAACAAAAACAUGUUCUUUUGAGUAAAAUUUAAGGUCGGGCCUGCCCACUGAUAUGAAUUGAAGGGCCGCGGUAUUUUGACCGUGCAAAGGUAGCAUAAUCAUUAGUCUUUUAAUUGAGGGCUAGAAUGAAUGGUUUGACGAAAUAUUAACUGUCUCUUUAUGAUGAGUAGAAUUUAACUUUUGAGUUAAAAGGCUUAAAUGAAUAUAAAAGACGAGAAGACCCUAUAGAUCUUUAUACAAUAGGUGUAAAUGUUUAUUUAGUUGUAUUAAUUAUGUUUAUGCUAUUGUAUUUUGUUGGGGUGACAUGAAGAUAUAAAUAACUCUUUAUAAUGGAAACAUUGAUUUAUGGUUAAUUGAUCCGUUAUUAACGAUUAUAAGAUAAAGUUACCUUAGGGAUAACAGCGUAAUUUUUUUUGAGAGUUCUUAUCGACAAAAAAGAUUGCGACCUCG